Molecule: ribosomal RNA, 491 nt
Filed under: marine sediment bacterium ISA-6362
Lineage: Bacteria
Description: bacterial SSU rRNA
Rfam family: Bacterial small subunit ribosomal RNA
Source: RNAcentral
UAGCGGCAGGCCUAACACAUGCAAGUCGAGGGGUAACAAGUCUAGCUUGCUAGAUGUUGACGACCGGCGCACGGGUGCGCAACGCGUAUACAAUCUGCCCCCUACUGUGGGAUAGCCCAGAGAAAUUUGGAUUAAUACCACAUGGUACCAUAUUACGGCAUCGUAUUUAUGGUUAAAGGUUACGGUAGGGGAUGAGUAUGCGUCCCAUUAGUUAGUUGGCGAGGUAACGGCUCACCAAGACCGCGAUGGGUAGGGGCCCUGAGAGGGGGAUCCCCCACACUGGUACUGAGACACGGACCAGACUCCUACGGGAGGCAGCAGUGAGGAAUAUUGGACAAUGGGCGGGAGCCUGAUCCAGCCAUGCCGCGUGCAGGAAGAAUGCCCUAUGGGUAGUAAACUGCUUUUAUACGGGAAGAAAAAGGGCUACGUGUAGCCCACUGACGGUACCGUAAGAAUAAGGACCGGCUAACUCCGUGCCAGCAGCCGCGGUA